Molecule: long non-coding RNA, 1927 nt
Organism: Oryzias melastigma (Indian medaka)
Lineage: Eukaryota; Metazoa; Chordata; Actinopteri; Beloniformes; Adrianichthyidae
Exons: 2
Source: RefSeq, a predicted model, not a curated record
AAACAUUCAAAGGUGGGACAUUACAAGACUCAGUGGUGAACUGUGCUGACUCAAAAUAGUUAGGAGGAGUGUAACUGAGCCCAUGUGGUAAAUAGCAGCACAGACUCAUGUCUGUUUUCAGUGAAGCCUAAGGACUAAAAGAUCAGUGGAUUACAAUCUUUAAACUAAAGAGGACAUCAGUUUGAAUUUUUUUAUACUCUUCACAGUAACAAGUAGUCAUUUUAUGCUCAAUCUUUCAAACUGUCAGAUGUCUUGAUUGUGAACUUUUUAGCAAAGUGCUUUUCUCCCCAUUAAACUAAACAAAUUGUUCUGUGUGUGAGACCAUUUCACUGACUAGUUAACAGUGUUCAGACCUACAACGCUAAGCCUCCCCCUUAUCAAAUAGGGAAACCAAAACUGCAGACACAGCAAAAGACAGCUUAAUCACCCAACAGACGGCAUACCCAGUUUGAGAAAGAAACAUCAACGUUAUUCAUAAACACACCCAGAGAAAAAAAAAAGAUAUUUUUUUUUCAGCACAUUUUUUUUAAACUGACUCAUGUAGUGAAGGAAAAAAACAAUCUUUAGUUUGUUGCGUCUUCCUUUUAUUUAUAUCUUUAACAACAUCUAAAUAUUUUACAUCCUCUUUUUCUUUUCUGUUUUUACCCACAUGUACACUUUUAUCACUUACUAUUAAUCUCUGGCUCAUUUUAUCUAAAAAAAAAAAACCCAUCAGGUUGACGUGCAAAAACAGUGAUGAUGUCAUAGUUCCAUUACUUAGAAGCUAAAGCUUUCCAAAACUAAAAAGUAGUUGUCAAUGACAACUGUUUCUACAAAACACAUAUACAAUACAAGUCUAUUGCUUUUUCAUGUAAAAUAAGACUUAAAGAACUUCUAAAUCUUUUUUCACAUUAAGUUAGAAGCAUGGACAACAGUCUACAAACAGGUAAUAACUCUGAUCAAAUUGCAGUUUGUUCUGAUGCAAACAAUAAUGCAUUUUUAAGUGAACCCUCAUUACUGUAGUACGAGUUUAACAAUACCAGGAUCUGCUAUGCUUUGAGGAUAUUGUUCCUACAGGGUGGGAUUCAGAAGUUCAAGACCGGAUGAGGAUUUUAAUGUGCUAGAGGUGCAGCUGCUCUAAGAAAUAAAAGUUGAGGAUGAGAAAUGAAGGCACAAAGCAUGAUGAUUCCACUCCUAUGCUUCUCAGUGGAUAUGGUGUUCUGGUCCAAAACUGGUCACUGGCAUGCCCUACAGAGUUGUACCAUGACACAGGCCCCUGUGCUAGAAAACUACAGUGUAGUUCUAUGAAUGUGAGGCAUGAAGGAUCUGGCGGCCAGCAGAAGUAAACCUGGUUUCCUACUGUGUGUGUUAGAUAUGCCUGGACAAAAAAAAAGGUUUUAGAGCCAGGAAUGGCAAGUAAUCAACCCUUGAAAUCCAAUAUGGCUCAACCGAACUGGUAUGAUGCGAGUUGUCCCUUAUACUAGAGCUUGAGAAGGGCCCCUUACUCUGCAUCUCCUUUCUCACUUCACACAACAACACAUAGACAAAAGGACCCCUCUCUUUCUUCACAACCACAGCUACACAUUAAGUGGGUGCAGGAGAGGUAAAACGUAAAAAAACAUUUUGUGUAAAUAAGGAACAAAUAAUACACAAUACAAUGUUCUGCAUACUAGAGCCUAAAGAAAUAAAGUAAUACAAUAUUUUAUUUAAAAACGACUAUUUAAAAACAGUGACAAAAGGUAAACCACAUAAAGGUUUGGUUGCUCCAUUCAAUCUCAAAAGAAUAGCUUGAGUUAAGUUGUAGAACAAACCUGCAGUGUGUUGCGAUGAUUGCAUCACUAAAGCAUGCAUGAACUGUUGUUUGCUUAGUGACGUAAAUUGUUGUCAGAGAAUUGUUUGAGAUAAAAAGACCAAGAAUAAAAAGCAGGAAACUUCUCCUGUCCAUCUA